RNAcentral lists this ribosomal RNA (349 nucleotides) under uncultured myxomycete. Its description in RNAcentral is "partial 18S ribosomal RNA". The record is from RNAcentral. Lineage: Eukaryota; Evosea; Eumycetozoa.
UCUGAAUCUGCGNACGGCUCCGCAAACCAGUUGUAAACCAUAGCAGCGUUCCGCCCGGCUUCAGCAAUGGAGCCGGGCAUUAUAUGGAUAACCGUGGUAAUUCUGAGGCUAAUACAUGACACACCAACCUGCCGGGCUGGGGGCAACUCCGGCUAGGUGGGGGACGUGCAAACUCCCAUUGCUAUAACAAAACCACGAAUGAAUGCACGUUCAGACCGCCAACCAACGGCAAGGGGGCUUCGGCUUCCGAACCGGGCGGCCCCUGCAACGGGCUUCUGACCUAUCAACUAGACGGCAGCUUUUCUGAAUCUGCGAACGGCUCCGCAAACCAGUUGUAAACCAUAGCAGC